GCUCCACCUGCCGGGCUGGAAGCUUUGUGGAUUCUCAAACACAUCCGAGCUUCUUCCCAGAGGAUAGAGACAGGCGUGGACCAUGGUCUGAGGGGGACAGUUGUCAAAAGACCGGCAGUGGCGCCCCCUGCAGGGCUUUCUGAGGGUCCCCACCAGCCUCAGCCCAUGAUGUUCUCACCUGCUGCCUCACACUCUCCUGCACCUCUGGGUUACGGCCGAGCUCAAACAGAGUAAACUGCAGGGGCACUGCUGUCUGCAGAGAAGUAGGAAGAUGGGAUGAGAGGUGACACAGAAUCAGUUUGGAUUGUUAAAUCAUGAGUCUGACGUGAGAAGGUGACACAGCCUGCGUCAGCAUUGGUGACUCAACCCGAAGAGCUGAAUGGAAGCUCGUCAAAAGAGGGAGGUGACAUUAAUCCAUCUCCUCCCCUCCCCUCGCCUGGGACACCAAGGUCAGUCAUUUUUGGAUUGAGAGGAGACAAGACACCCAUCCUUUAAAGCUGUUUUACCCCGAACACCGUGACGGAAAAAUGUUGUGCAGGCUGGGUGAAUUAAUGCAGGAGCUAGCAGAGCAAUCACACAUGAAAUGUACAUCAAGCAAACCCCAGGUCACAAAUCACUGGGGAUGAUGACCUCCAACCUUCCAGCGCGAAGCGGAAGAGAUCAGGGCUCGGAU
This is a long non-coding RNA of Platichthys flesus (European flounder), 673 nucleotides long. RefSeq lists it as uncharacterized. The transcript has 3 exons. NCBI's taxonomy places the organism in Eukaryota, Metazoa, Chordata, Actinopteri, Pleuronectiformes, Pleuronectidae. The record is from RefSeq and is a predicted model, not a curated record.